RNAcentral lists this long non-coding RNA (1383 nucleotides) under Pan troglodytes (chimpanzee). Its description in RNAcentral is "long non-coding RNA NONPTRT007675". The record is from RNAcentral. Lineage: Eukaryota; Metazoa; Chordata; Mammalia; Primates; Hominidae.
CUCUUUCUGAUUGAGUGUAAGCUGCUAUAUGAAAGGAUCCACAAGAUGAAUAAUUAAAGGGGACCUCUGAUCAACAGCCAGCAAGGAACUGAAUCCCUCAGACCCACAACUCACAAGAAACUGAAGUUGAAGCAGAUUCUACCUCAGUCAAGCUUCAGGUGCCCAGCUGGAUUGGUAGAGGAGACCAACCACACCCUCUGCAGCACAGCACCUGGAGAGGAACUGCUGCCAUGACCAUAGAGGACACCCUCUGGAUACAAUGCCAGACUUGAUGUGGGACUGACCAACCUAUGGACCCCAGGCACCACCACCCAGACCUGCUCAGCACCUGAAACUUUUCUAUCUCCUCUUCACUCUUGAUGUAGACAUAUCUUCAAGUCAUCUUCUCCAGGCGACACGAGCCUUAAGAGCAUCUUUGUACCCAUCAGGAACGAGUACACAGAGGCUGUGCAACCCUGGAGGCUGCAACCUUUUAUGAAAAAUAAGCUCUCCAUUCCAAAUUUACAAACCUCAUCAUUCUUCAGUUGACAACACUGAGGCUGCUACCUCCCCUGUGGCUGGGAGCAAGAUGAGCCCCAGAUGUGUUUCCAAGUGAGUCUGAUUGGGACAGGAGCCGACGUGGGACUUGGAGGCUGGAGAUGGGAGCAGCAUUCACAGCCAUGGAGAGAGAACUGUUCACUGCUACCAUCCACACUUCCGGGCCCCUUCAGCAGCAGGGUGACAAGGAAGAGGGAAAUCGACUUGGAAAAGAGGGGACCUCUGACCCAAGAGUUUGGUCAAUGCAUAUGUUGGCAGCCAACUGCACAUAGCACCAAAUACGAACUUCAAAUAGAAGAAAGCCGCAUUUGGAAGAAAGCUCAUGCACAGACUGUAAAUAUUUCAGAGCAGAUUGUGUCUCUGUAGAUUAAGGGAGUGGAGCAGGAGCCUGAGGUCAUAUGAGUUUGCAGCUCCUGUGUGGGACCACCACUUCACAAGCCAGGGAAAGGCAAUCAGCACCCCAGUGUUCUUAGCACGUCAUGCCCCGGUACAGCCUCCAUUCCACAAGUGGUGGGGCUGGGCAGAAGAAAAGAGCUCUUACUACUCAUUUCCACUGAUCUGGAACAUAGCUGCAGUAACAGAUAUCUGGGGCAAGAAGAGAAACACUGAAGUCCUGCUCUUCCUGGUAAUAAAGGCCUCUCUGACUAGAAGCUGGUGGGGCAAGGAAGCCCUGUGGUCUUGGCUGCAGCAGUCUGGAGUGGAGUCUCUGCUUUAUGGGGGGAAGAGUGGAUCCAAGGUGGAGGCUUUCUCUUCCCAGCUUGCAAACCGGUAUCUCCAGCAAAGCUCUCCUUUCUACUAUUCAGCUAUCCUGGUGGUCUUUUGGAUGACAACUUGCAGAUAGAUAAG